RNAcentral lists this ribosomal RNA (486 nucleotides) under uncultured bacterium. Its description in RNAcentral is "partial 16S ribosomal RNA". It matches the Rfam family "Bacterial small subunit ribosomal RNA", at positions 30 to 507 of the family's 1533-position model. The record is from RNAcentral.
AUUGAACGCUGGCGGCAUGCCUUACACAUGCAAGUCGAACGGCAGCACGGGUGCUUGCCCCUGGUGGCGAGUGGCGAACGGGUGAGUAAUACAUCGGAACAUGUCCUGUAGUGGGGGAUAGCCCGGCGAAAGCCGGAUUAAUACCGCAUACGAUCUACGGAUGAAAGCGGGGGACCUUCGGGCCUCGCGCUAUAGGGUUGGCCGAUGGCUGAUUAGCUAGUUGGUGGGGUAAAGGCCUACCAAGGCGACGACCAGUAGCUGGUCUGAGAGGACGACCAGCCACACUGGGACUGAGACACGGCCCAGACUCCUACGGGAGGCAGCAGUGGGGAAUUUUGGACAAAGGGCGAAAGCCUGAUCCAGCAAUGCCGCGUGUGUGAAGAAGGCCUUCGGGUUGUAAAGCACUUUUGUCCGGAAAGAAAUCCUUGGCUCUAAUACAGUCGGGGGAUGACGGUACCGGAAGAAUAAGCACCGGCUAACUACGUG